RNAcentral lists this ribosomal RNA (450 nucleotides) under uncultured bacterium. RNAcentral's name for it is "partial 16S ribosomal RNA". It matches the Rfam family "Bacterial small subunit ribosomal RNA", at positions 354 to 796 of the family's 1533-position model. The record is from RNAcentral.
GUGGGGAAUAUUGGACAAUGGGCGAAAGCCUGAUCCAGCCAUGCCGCGUGCAGGAUGAAGGCCUUCGGGUUGUAAACUGCUUUUGUACGGAACGAAAAGACUCUGGUUAAUACCUGGGGUCCAUGACGGUACCGUAAGAAUAAGCACCGGCUAACUACGUGCCAGCAGCCGCGGUAAUACGUAGGGUGCAAGCGUUAAUCGGAAUUACUGGGCGUAAAGCGUGCGCAGGCGGUUAUAUAAGACAGAUGUGAAAUCCCCGGGCUCAACCUGGGAACUGCAUUUGUGACUGUAUAGCUAGAGUACGGCAGAGGGGGAUGGAAUUCCGCGUGUAGCAGUGAAAUGCGUAGAUAUGCGGAGGAACACCGAUGGCGAAGGCAAUCCCCUGGGCCUGUACUGACGCUCAUGCACGAAAGCGUGGGGAGCAAACAGGAUUAGAAACCCUGGUAGUCC